This 323-nucleotide long non-coding RNA is filed under the name Ananas comosus (pineapple). RNAcentral's name for it is "long non-coding RNA (ACOM_LNC038637)". Lineage: Eukaryota; Viridiplantae; Streptophyta; Magnoliopsida; Poales; Bromeliaceae. The record is from RNAcentral.
GUGCUUUGAUAGGUGCUUAUUGCAUAUUUUUAUUCAUUGCAUUACAUGUUUAGAUGUUUUUGGUGUUUUGAAUAUUGUUUGUUUAAAAAUCUUUUUGAGGAAAGGUAUUUUGGAAUUCAAAAUUUUUGAGAAAGGAGGUGAUUGAGAAUCAUUAUUUUGAGGAGAGAAAUUUUUUAAAAUCGCUUAAACGGUGUUUAACUUCACCAUCAUAUUAAGUUAAAUUCAUAUUACUUAUCGUUUUUACUUCACUUUUUAUUAUUUUGACGAUAAUUUAAUAUAUGAUUUCUUAAUACAUAUAUUCAUCAAAAUUUUAAAAUCAAAUU